AGAGUUUGAUCCUGGCUCAGGAUUAACGCUAGCGGCAGGCCUAAUACAUGCAAGUCGAGGGGCAGCAGGGUGUAGCAAUACACUGCUGGCGACCGGCGCACGGGUGCGUAACACGUAUGUAACCUUUCCUUAACUGGGGAAUAGCUCCGAGAAAUCGGGAUUAAUACCCCAUAACACUGCGAAGUGGCAUCACUUUGCAA
Molecule: ribosomal RNA, 200 nt
Filed under: uncultured bacterium
Lineage: Bacteria
Description: partial 16S ribosomal RNA
Rfam family: Bacterial small subunit ribosomal RNA
Source: RNAcentral